This 253-nucleotide ribosomal RNA is filed under the name uncultured bacterium. Its description in RNAcentral is "partial 16S ribosomal RNA". It matches the Rfam family "Bacterial small subunit ribosomal RNA", at positions 524 to 776 of the family's 1533-position model. The record is from RNAcentral.
CACGUAGGGGGCGAGCGUUGUCCGGAUUUAUUGGGCGUAAAGCGCGCGUAGGCGGCUCGGAAAGUCGGUCGUGAAAUGCCGGGGCUCAACCCCGGGACUGCGUCCGAUACUCCCGAGCUGGAGGCAGGUAGGGGAGAUCGGAAUUCCUGGUGUAGCGGUGAAAUGCGCAGAUAUCAGGAGGAACACCGGUGGCGAAGGCGGAUCUCUGGGCCUUGCCUGACGCUGAGGCGCGAAAGCUAGGGGAGCGAACAGG